AACGCGAAGAACCUUACCAGGUCUUGACAUCCUCUGACAACCCUAGAGAUAGGGCUUCUCCUUCGGGAGCAGAGUGACAGGUGGUGCAUGGUUGUCGUCAGCUCGUGUCGUGAGAUGUUGGGUUAAGUCCCGCAACGAGCGCAACCCUUGACCUUGGUUGCCAUCAUUAAGUUGGGCACUCUAAGGUGACUGCCGGUGACAAACCGGAGGAAGGUGGGGAUGACGUCAAAUCAUCAUGCCCCUUAUGACCUGGGCUACACACGUGCUACAAUGGACGGUACAAAGAGCUGCAAGACCGCGAGGUGGAGCUAAUCUCAUAAAACCGUUCUCAGUUCGGAUUGUAGGCUGCAACUCGCCUACAUGAAGCUGGAAUCGCUAGUAAUCGCGGAUCAGCAUGCCGCGGUGAAUACGUUCCCGGGCCUUGUACACACCGCCCGUA
RNAcentral lists this ribosomal RNA (439 nucleotides) under Bacillus sp. BFC2. RNAcentral describes it as "bacterial SSU rRNA". It matches the Rfam family "Bacterial small subunit ribosomal RNA", at positions 958 to 1398 of the family's 1533-position model. The record is from RNAcentral. Lineage: Bacteria; Bacillati; Bacillota; Bacilli; Caryophanales; Bacillaceae.